GUCCGGGCUCAAAGGGGUCAUUUUCUAACUGAGUUGUCUUUCCAGGUCAGCUCUAGCUUUCAGUACCACUUACAAGCUUAUGUCUCCAAAGUGAGUAUCUCUAGGCUUGACCUGUAGCCAGACUCUAGGCAUAUCUACACUUAGAUAAUAGCCAUACUUGGAUAAUUUAGAUGAUUGUACACUUUAAAUUUCCCCCAAACCUAUUCCUUAUACAUACAACCCAGUCUUCUCUGUCUCAGGAAAUGUUAUCACAAUCCACCAAGUGGUUAAGCCACCCAUUUGGAGUUUUUCCUGCUUCUUUUCUUUCUGCUAUUCUGUCCCAAUCACCAGCACGUUCUCUUUUACUCUCAAAUAUAUGUAGAAACAUCUGCUCUCUUCUCUCUGUCUCUAUCACCACCACCAUCUCUUCCUUGGGCCACUCAAUGGCUUCUUAAUUGGUGUCCUGGCUUUUGCUUUUGUCCCCCUACAAUCCAUUUUUCCCAUCCAAGAGCUAGAGUGAUUUUUCAAAAUGCAAACAAGCUCAUGUCAUUGCUGUGCUUAAACGAUGUCCGAUUGCCUUGCUUAUUCUUUUCAUAGCAAUUACCCUGGACGGUCAUUACCUUGAUUAUUUGUUUUCUUAUCUAGUGCCUGUAUCCAAUAACUAGAACGCAAGCUCAGAGGUCAGGGACCCUGUCUUAUUCCUCAGUGUGCCCAUAAUAAGUCCUGAUAUGUAGGGGAUGAUCCAGACCAUAUUUUUAAAUAAAUUAAUCAACACUUUCUGAGUGGGAGGUCUUUUCACCUAAUUUCAGGCCCGAGAAAGUUUCUUGUUGUCAGCAGAAUCUCUGUACAUUCGAAAGACGAGAGGUGCUUUAAAUAGACACCGGUCCUGGCAGAAGCCAGUGUGCUAGGAGAAUAGCAUCUCUGCAGACCUUUUAUCACCCUCAGAAACUGAAAGCCCCUAAAUAUAGGCCAGCCAUUAAAGAUUCAUGAGAUCCUGCGGCGACUUAUCAGAGCCAUGGAAAUCGGACACUUCCAUCAUAGUGGACGCUUUGACAUUUGUUCCUAAUCAGUGAAUGCACAUAUUUUAUUACCCUUUCAGGGAAGUAUGGGGCACAAUUCCAGAAGCAUAAGAGGCUUCCCUUAGCACUGGGAUUACGCUUUGCUCUCCAAUCCAAACAUGGAACACCCACGAGCCACUUCCACUGCACAUUGGCUGCAAAAAGAGGUGGCUCAGACCUGACUCCCUUUCCAGUGUUGCUUCAGGCAUCUUGGUGGCUCACUGUCCUCAUUUCUUUGGUGCAUUUCACUUAAUCACCACUCAGGAGAGGUCUGCAGCAUCCUUUCGUGUGGCAACCAGACGGUGUGGCUGAAAGAACUAUUGCAGAGAAUAGGUAUGGGUGGAAUCAACCUGAAAUAAUGACAUGAUUUGACACUUUACAGAAAUUCUAUUCAGAUUUAUUAUUUAGACUCCUACAUUCAAGAAAGGCCAAACUUCUAUAUAUAGUGAAACUACAUUUGUACUUUGUCUAAUAAACACAAUAUAGAAUUUUAUGUAAGGUUUAUCCCAGUCUACUUCUAAAUGGACCUUGGGGGAAUUCACAAGGACAUCAAAUACAAAAUAAGACAGCUGGGGAGACAAGGAGAAAGGCUACCUAAAGAGGACUGGCUCGCCCUGGUUACA
Macaca fascicularis (crab-eating macaque) is the source of this 1660-nucleotide long non-coding RNA. Lineage: Eukaryota; Metazoa; Chordata; Mammalia; Primates; Cercopithecidae. The record is from Ensembl.